Molecule: ribosomal RNA, 431 nt
Filed under: Bradinopyga strachani
Lineage: Eukaryota; Metazoa; Arthropoda; Insecta; Odonata; Libellulidae
Description: partial 12S ribosomal RNA
Rfam family: Microsporidia small subunit ribosomal RNA
Source: RNAcentral
UUUAUUUUAAAUGUAAAAAAAACCUGGGUAAUAAUAGGUAAGUUCUUGAAACCCAAAGAAUUNGNCGGAUUUUAUUCUUUUUAGAGNAACCUGUCCUGUAAUUGAUAUUCCACGAUGGAUAACUACUUAUUCCUGGUAUUCAUUUUGUAUACCUCCGUCAUCAGAGUAUCUUUUUUAGAGUGAAUAUUCUAUAAAUACAAAAUAUAAUAUGUCAGGUCAAGGUGCAAUUUAUGAAUAAGAAGAGAUGGGUUACAAUAAAUUUAUUUAUACGGAUUAUCACUAAUAGAGGUGUUAUGAAGGAGGAUUUAAUAGUAAAAUUAUUCCCUAAAUAUUUUGAUUUUAGCUCUAAAAUAUGCACACAUCGCCCGUCGCUCUUAUUUCAAAAUAAGAUAAGUCGUAACAUAGUAGGAGUACCGGAAGGUGUUCCUAGU